Molecule: long non-coding RNA, 1749 nt
Filed under: Equus caballus (horse)
Lineage: Eukaryota; Metazoa; Chordata; Mammalia; Perissodactyla; Equidae
Description: lncRNA (ENSECAG00000059904.1)
Source: RNAcentral
CCUGAAAAUGCCUGGACAGAGUAAACGCGACCUGCUGCCGGGACAGGACACAGCACCCUUUACUCUCUGGUCUCCCUGUUACACCUUUGGAAAGUAGCCCACGUUCUUGAAUAUUCUGGGAUUUUCCUUUCUGAAUACUUUUCUGACUAUUUUGUUCAUUCCUUUUUCUCUUUGCAUUUCAGUGUGGGAACUUUCUAGUGACCUGUCCUCAAGCUUACUGACUCUCUCCCUGCCCUUUCCAGUCCAGUGACGAGCCCAUGGAAGGCAUUCUUCAUUUCUGUCACAGCGUUUUUAGGUUCUAGCAUUUCCAUUGGAUUCUUUCUUAGAGUUUCCAUCUCUGCUUACAUUUCAUGUCUGUUCUUCAUACGUGUUUCCUUGUCUAAUUUUCUAUUAGUGUCCUUAACAUAUAAGUAACAGUUAUUUUAUUUUCCUGUCUGAUAAUUCCAGAAGAAGAGCAUAUCUGAGUCUGGUUGUGAUGCUUACAUUGUCUCCAUAGAUAGUUUCUCUUGCCUUUGAGCAUGUCUUGUAAUUUUCUGUUGAAAGCAGUCAUCUGUUGGAUAACAAGAACUGAGAUGAAUAGACCAUCAGAUGAGAUUUCAUGCUCUUCUGGCUAUGAGUUUGGCUGUUUAGUGUCUGCUGUAGCUGUAGGUGACAGAGGUUUCAAAUUUCUCUGAGUCCUUGUUUCUGUCUCACCUGUUGACGUUGGGCUUCCCUAGGUACUGCUCCUCAGGGAGAGUGUACGUCACGGCUGUCAGCUCCACUGCACUGUUGUUGAACUGGAGGCCCCGUGUGUGGUGCUACUGCCUGGGGGAGGGGGCCGCUUUCUGCAAGACUGGUUAAAUCUCAGUCACUCGUGGGCCUGUGUCCCUGGGCUGUGACCCUCACAGUGUUUCUUAGCUUCCCCCUUGGGUGAGACUCAAAGGCUGGAGUGGCUGGAGUGGGAGAGAUGCCGUUCCCCAGGAGGUCUGGUAAGGUCUUCCCUGGAGAGUGGGCCUUGGUUAUGGGGAAGGCGCUGGGUGUAUUUCGCAAGGAUUACUCUUCCCUUUCCCCUUUCUGACCCACGUGGGGGUCUUUCUCAGAUCUUCUGCAAGAGCCUGGUGGGGUUCCUGGAGGUAAAGCCCAGAAAAGUAUGAGGGCCCCUCAGACUGUGUCUCCCAGGACUUUCUCCCUCCCAGCCAGCCCACACUCAGCCUCUGGAAAACCACCCCAAUUGCCAGUGGAGUGCUCCCAUCAGCAUGAUGUCAGCAGCUUCUCUUCCAGGGUAUUUCGACUCCAAACAGAGUGUCCCUCCGUUCCAGGCAUGGAGAUGUAGUGGGGUUUCUGUGUCCCACACUUCCAGCUGCAUUGUCACCUCUCAGGAACCACAGCAGCGGGACUGUGAGACCUGCCCAUCCACUUGGAAUGCACCAUGCUCCUCCCUCCAACCUGAAAACAUUCCAGUUCUGCAAUACCUAACCCAGAAGGCUGCUGCUGGGAAUGGAAUCGGAGUUUCCCAGUAUGGUGCCACACUACACACAUCCAUACACACACACGAGCGUCCAAACAAAUGGAGCCCAUAGUUAGUCCUCUCGGAGUGAGGUCUCUAAUACUUUCAAAGAAAUUGAGGCCCCCUUGACCAAUCUCCAGCAAGCUGGAACAAAACCCAUUGAAGCAGACGCCAAGAAAUGAAAGGACAAAUAGGACUUGGUCAGUUUUAAUGAGGAAACUCACCAAAACGAUGUCCAUUCCAAACCAGAAGCAAAAGCAAGC